RNAcentral lists this transfer RNA (76 nucleotides) under Eubacteriales Family XIII. Incertae Sedis bacterium. Its description in RNAcentral is "tRNA-Met". It matches the Rfam family "tRNA". From Rfam's summary of the family: Transfer RNA (tRNA) molecules are approximately 80 nucleotides in length. Their secondary structure includes four short double-helical elements and three loops (D, anti-codon, and T loops). The record is from RNAcentral. Lineage: Bacteria; Bacillati; Bacillota; Clostridia; Peptostreptococcales; Anaerovoracaceae.
CGCGGGGUAGAGCAGUUGGUAGCUCGUCGGGCUCAUAACCCGGAGGUCACUGGUUCAAGUCCGGUCCCCGCAACCA